RNAcentral lists this ribosomal RNA (468 nucleotides) under uncultured bacterium. RNAcentral's name for it is "partial 16S ribosomal RNA". It matches the Rfam family "Bacterial small subunit ribosomal RNA", at positions 28 to 507 of the family's 1533-position model. The record is from RNAcentral.
GACGAACGCUGGCGGCGUGCUUAACACAUGCAAGUCGAACGGAAAGGCCCUGCUUUUGUGGGGUGCUCGAGUGGCGAACGGGUGUGUAACACGUGAGUAACCUGCCCUUGACUUUGGGAUAACUUCAGGAAACUGGGGCUACUACCGGAUAGGAGCUCCUGCUGCAUGGUGGGGGUUGGACAGUUUCGGCGGUUGGGGAUGGACUGGCGGCUUAUCAGCUUGUUGGUGGGGUAGUGGCUUACCCAGGCUUUGACGGGUAGCCGGCCUGAGAGGGUGAACGGCGACAUGGGUACUGCGAGACGGCCCAGACUCCUACGGGAGGCAGCAGGGGGGAAUAUUGCACAAUGGGGGGGAGCGUGAGGCAGCAACGCCGCGUGCGGGAUGACGGCCUUCGGGGUGGAAACCGCUUUCGCCUGUGACGAAGCGUGAGUGACGGUAAUGGGUAAAGAAGCACCGGCUAACUACGUG